This 198-nucleotide unclassified non-coding RNA is filed under the name Granulicatella elegans ATCC 700633. Its description in RNAcentral is "16S-23S ribosomal RNA intergenic spacer". Lineage: Bacteria; Bacillati; Bacillota; Bacilli; Lactobacillales; Carnobacteriaceae. The record is from RNAcentral.
AUAACAUCUAAUGUUUCGACGUUAGAUGAACACGGAACCCUACAGGUUGAAAUCUUUGUUUAGUUUUGAGAGGUUAACUCUCAACUCGACCUUUGAAAACUGAAUACUAUAUCACAAAUGAAAACCAAAAAUUUACCGAGAGUUAGAGAAAUCUAACGAAAAAGAGUUUUUUAACAAGAAGCAACGCGACCAUAAUGG